Molecule: ribosomal RNA, 255 nt
Filed under: uncultured bacterium
Lineage: Bacteria
Description: partial 16S ribosomal RNA
Rfam family: Bacterial small subunit ribosomal RNA
Source: RNAcentral
UACGGAGGGGGCUAGCGUUGUUCGGAAUUACUGGGCGUAAAGCGCACGUAGGCGGCUUUGUAAGUUAGAGGUGAAAGCCCGGGGCUCAACUCCGGAACUGCCUUUAAGACUGCAUCGCUAGAAUUGUGGAGAGGUGAGUGGAAUUCCGAGUGUAGAGGUGAAAUUCGUAGAUAUUCGGAAAGAACACCAGUGGCGAAGGCGACUCACUGGACACAUAUUGACGCUGAGGUGCGAAAAGCGUGGGGAGCAAACAGG